GACGAACGCUGGCGGCGUGCUUAACACAUGCAAGUCGAACGGAAAGGCCCUGCUUUUGUGGGGUGCUCGAGUGGCGAACGGGUGAGUAACACGUGAGUAACCUGCCCUUGACUUUGGGAUAACUUCAGGAAACUGGGGCUAAUACCGGAUAGGAGCUCCUGCUGCAUGGUGGGGGUUGGAAAGUUUCGGCGGUUGGGGCUGGACUCGCGGCUUAUCAGCUUGUUGGUGGGGUAGUGGCUUACCAAGGCUUUGACGGGUAGCCGGCCUGGGAGGGUGACCGGCCACAUUGGGACUGAGAUACGGCCCAGACUCCUACGGGAGGCAGCAGUGGGGAAUAUUGCACAAUGGGCGGAAGCCUGAUGCAGCAACGCCGCGUGCGGGAUGACGGCCUUCGGGUUGUAAACCGCUUUCGCCUGUGACGAAGCGUGAGUGACGGUAAUGAGUAAAGAAGCACCGGCUAACUACGUG
Molecule: ribosomal RNA, 468 nt
Filed under: uncultured bacterium
Lineage: Bacteria
Description: partial 16S ribosomal RNA
Rfam family: Bacterial small subunit ribosomal RNA
Source: RNAcentral